RNAcentral lists this ribosomal RNA (460 nucleotides) under uncultured bacterium. RNAcentral describes it as "partial 16S ribosomal RNA". It matches the Rfam family "Bacterial small subunit ribosomal RNA", at positions 338 to 795 of the family's 1533-position model. The record is from RNAcentral.
CCUACGGGUGGCAGCAGUGAGGAAUAUUGGUCAAUGGACGGAAGUCUGACCCAGCCAUGCCGCGUGCGGGAAGACGGCUCUAUGAGUUGUAAACUGCUUUUGUACAAGGGUAAACCUGCAUACGUGUAUUCAGCUGAAUGUACUGUACGAAUAAGGAUCGGCUAACUCCGUGCCAGCAGCCGCGGUAAUACGGAGGAUCCAAGCGUUAUCCGGAUUUAUUGGGUUUAAAGGGUGCGUAGGCGGAUUGAUAAGUUAGAGGUGAAAUGUCCGGGCUUAACUCGGGAACUGCCUUUAAUACUGGUGAUCUAGAGAGUAGAUGCGGAAGGCGGAAUGUAUGGUGUAGCGGUGAAAUGCUUAGAGAUCAGACAGAACACCGAUGGCGAAGGCAGCUUACCAAUCUAUAUCUGACGUUGAGGAACGAAAGCGUGGGGAGCAAACAGGAUUAGAUACCCGUGUAGUC